AUAGAGACCCCAGGUUUUGACCUUGUCACAGGAGAGUUUCCCCUUGAGGGAAGGUCCCUCUUCACCAGACAGUGAACUUCCUGGUAGUUUGGGUGGGAACAGCUAAUCCCAUCCAACAUUGAACAUCCCUUUUGUCCCAAUGGUUUCUUCCCCCUAGGCUAAAGUCCAUGACCAAGGUGACCCAGCCCUAGGCUGAGUCUUUCCCUUUUGUGUCCAUUGUAGGGCCCCAGCCCCUCACUAUUAUUCCUGUCCGGAACUCUUCAUUUUCCUUUCUUACCAUUGUAAAGUCAAUCAACUGUCCCUCUAAUCCUAAAGCCCCCAGGUCAUCUAGAGUGGUAUAUAGGUUCUCUAAGUUCUUUUGUUCCUCGGAGUCCAUCCUGAGUCGGUGGCACUCCCAGGGGCUGGUGGCCAGAGCGUCUUGACUCCGGUGCAGUCCGGUGCAGAAAUCAGCUCUGUUGUCGUAGUAGCAGCGCUAACCCCUUUUCCCUUGAUUAAAGAGUGAUUUUGACUAUUUAAUAGUUCUGUGUUUUUCCUAGUUGACACUUUCUAAAUUAAUAAGUCUCUUUUUGUUUUUAAGCUAGGUUUGGAGUCAUUGCAUGCUUGCAAAAGGCAUCCUUCCGGAACCCAAAAGGGUAUCCUUCCACACCCAUAACAUUUUGACGCCCAAUGUGGUUUUUGGCUCUCCUGAAAGCUACUCCUGUACCCCGAAUCGCCCACGAGGACAGGGCUUCUCAGGGAUGACAAAGGGCCCCCCACUUCCUGUGUGUGUAUGCCAUGGAGUCUUAGGCACUUGGGUAUAGUGGUGAACUGUUCAAAGUCUGAAGCCCAUGAAACAUCAAUGAUUGGUGACUAUCCCAUGUCACAAGGUGAGUCCCUUCUCUCUUCUGAUACCAUGUCAAUAUUAGACUUCCAUUAACAUUUAGUUAGAGUCCAGGUGACCCUAAUAUAUUGAAAAUAAAUGAUGAAUCACAUUCA
This 975-nucleotide long non-coding RNA is filed under the name Monodelphis domestica (gray short-tailed opossum). Its description in RNAcentral is "lncRNA (ENSMODG00000033903.2)". The record is from RNAcentral. Lineage: Eukaryota; Metazoa; Chordata; Mammalia; Didelphimorphia; Didelphidae.